GAAGGUUGGCAGCGCCGCAGCCCGGGCCGGAGCGCAGGAGCCGACGGGGGCCGGCCGGGAUGGUGCAGCGGCGGCUCUGCGGCUCACGCACGCACUGAGCGGGCCCAGGCUGGGCCCCGCGCCCCCCGCGCCCCCAGCCGCCCCGAUCCCGGCCGGCAUGAUGUGCCUGGAAUGCGCCUCGGCGGCGGCGGGCGGCGCGGAGGAGGAGGAGGCGGAUGCGGAGCGACGGCGCCGGCGCCGGGGGGCGCCGCGAGGGGCUAGCGGUAGCGGUUGCUGCGGGGCGCAGGGCGCAGGCGGUGCUGGAGUCUCGGCCGCCGACGACGAGGUGCAGACGCUGUCGGGCAGUGUGAGGCGGGCCCCGUCCGGACCCCCCAGCUCCCCCGGCUCCCCCGGCUGCGCAGCUGCUGCCAAGGGCCCCAGCGCGCAGCAGCCUAAACCCGCCAGCUUGGGCCGCGGGCGGGGGGCAGCGGCCGCCAUCCUUAGCUUGGGCAACGUGCUUAACUACCUGGACAGGUACACCGUGGCAGGCGUCCUUCUGGAUAUCCAGCAGCACUUUGGGGUCAAGGACCGAGGCGCUGGCUUGCUGCAGUCAGUGUUCAUCUGCAGCUUCAUGGUGGCUGCCCCCAUCUUCGGCUACCUGGGCGACCGCUUCAACAGAAAGGUGAUCCUCAGCUGUGGCAUUUUCUUCUGGUCAGCAGUCACCUUCUCCAGCUCCUUCAUCCCCCAGCAGUACUUCUGGAUGCUGGUGCUGUCCCGGGGGCUAGUGGGCAUUGGCGAGGCCAGCUACUCCACCAUCGCGCCCACCAUCAUUGGAGACCUCUUCACUAAGAACACGCGUACACUCAUGCUGUCCGUCUUCUACUUUGCCAUCCCACUGGGCAGUGGCCUGGGCUAUAUCACUGGCUCCAGCGUGAAGCAAGCGGCUGGAGACUGGCACUGGGCCUUGAGGGUGUCCCCUGUCCUGGGCAUGGUCACAGGAACACUCAUUCUUGUCCUGGUCCCGGCCACUAAGAGAGGCCAUGCCGACCAACUUGGGGGGCAGCUCAAGGCACGGACCUCGUGGCUCCGUGACAUGAAGGCCCUGAUCCGAAACCGCAGCUAUGUCUUCUCCUCCUUGGCCACGUCCGCCGUAUCCUUCGCCACAGGGGCCCUGGGCAUGUGGAUCCCGCUCUACCUGCAUCGUGCUCAGGUUGUGCAGAAAACGGUGGAGACGUGUAACAGCCCGCCCUGCGGGACCAAGGACAGUCUCAUCUUUGGGGCCAUCACCUGCUUUACAGGCUUUCUGGGUGUGGUCACAGGUGCAGGAGCCACACGCUGGUGCCGCCUGCGGACCCAGCGGGCUGACCCACUGGUAUGUGCCGUGGGCAUGUUGGGCUCUGCCAUCUUCAUCUGCCUGAUCUUUGUGGCCGCCAAAAGCAGCAUUGUGGGAGCCUAUAUCUGUAUCUUUGUUGGGGAGACGCUGCUGUUUUCUAACUGGGCCAUCACUGCGGACAUCCUCAUGUAUGUGGUCAUCCCCACCCGAAGGGCCACAGCUGUGGCCUUGCAGAGCUUCACCUCCCACCUGCUGGGGGAUGCAGGAAGCCCCUACCUCAUUGGCUUUAUUUCUGACCUGAUCCGCCAGAGCACCAAGGACUCCCCGCUCUGGGAAUUCCUGAGCCUGGGCUACGCCCUCAUGCUCUGCCCCUUCGUUGUGGUCCUGGGGGGCAUGUUCUUCCUUGCCACUGCUCUCUUCUUCCUCAGUGACCGUGCCAAGGCUGAGCAGCAGUCCCUGCCCAGCACCUCCGGUCAGCCGGCCCCGGCGAUGCGAUGUGCCAGAGCAGUGCCCGGGCCCGGCCCCCGCUGAUGCGCCACCCUGACCCCCGCCCAUCUUUCCCCCAGGGUGAACCAGCUAGUGAUGCCCCCCGCAUCUGUGAAAGUCUGAGGUGGUGCCACUGGAACGAUGAAGUCACACACCUCUCCAAUCUGGGAGGUGCCCUACGGGGUCCUGGACCUGUUGGGCUGUCCCAGAACUUUCUGUGCCAUCCACAGCUGGACACCCACCCUCUCUGGCCUGGGACUGCAGAGUGGCCCUGGCUCCAAGAAGAGGCUGUCUCCCCAGUUAACCUAGAAGGCUAUGGGUGUUGGAACCACACAGCUGGACAGAUUUCUAGCCCUGGGUUUGGGCUGCAGGGCCCCUGGGGACAAGGGAGAAGACAGCCUCAACUGGGUGUAUUGGUAGACCCUGGCCUGCCACCAGCAUAUGUGACCUUGGGCAUGUCCUUGCCCUCCCUAGACCACAGGUCCAGGGGGCUGGACUUUCCCACACGAUUUGCUGGGCAGGAGACCAUCUACAGCUUUGAAGAUCCCACAGAUACUGGACUGUUCAGAGAUGAGUUGGCCCAGGCCUCAGAGCAGCAGUUCAGGUUCUAAGGCUCACAGAGGGCCUGUGAGCAGAGCCCACUGCCUCUCAGUUGGGUCUCUCACCUUGGGGAUGUUGGACUCAACCUGGUAAAUGGAACUGGGAACCCAAGUCACUGGGUACUUCCUGGCCCAGCUGGCCACUCUGGAGGACACUUGUCUCCCUGCCUUGGUUUGCCUCUUAGCCUGGAGGUCUCCUGGCUCAGGAUCAACUCCUGACAAGGAGGUGCCAGGGGUGAAGGCCCUGGCAGCAGCUGCACACCACUCGUGCCCCCAGGCUCAAGGUCUUUGGUAGUUACCCACCAGCCCCUCUCUGUAGGCCCGUGGGCCUUCGAGUGCUUGUGCUAUCUACCCUCCUCAACCCCCAUUUCCAGCCAGGAACCCACUCCCUCCCUCAGGCUGGGCUGGGCACUCUUCCAGGGGCAGGGCCCAGGGGACCAUUCCCAGAAUCCACAGGGCAGUAGCCAGGACUCUGGUUGCCAGAGGAAGCAGCCAUCCAGGAAGCUUCCUGCCCAAUGGAUGAGUGUAGAAUAGGCUGAGGCCCACAUGGUGAGGCUACCAUGUCUCCAAAUACUGGCUGCUGCUGUUAGGGAAAACCCAAUCCCGUAGGGCCAGGCCUUCACCCUAGCCUUUGAUCACCCCCAUGGCUGUGUGUAUACACAUCAGAGUGUGGCUGCCAACUCCACACCAGCCAGAGCUCCCCACACUCUGCAUAUUUGCUGCAAUCAAGGUGAUUCUGGUCUGGGGGCCCUUAUGGCCAGUGGGAGACCCUAAGAGCCAGCUUAGAUAGCAUUCCUCCUGCCCCUUAGUUCCUGGCUGGCUGUGGCUUCAGUGGUGUGUAAGCUAGUGGAAUACCCCUCACCAAGUUCUGGGGCACCCCUGGGGGCCUGACAAGGGGGUGGUACUUCCUAAAGACCAGCCUAACCUCCACUCCCUACCCCAGCUGGGACCCCAGCAAUGUUUUCUUGUUGUACAAGAACCAGGUCCAAGUGUUGCCUCCUCUUCCUUCCGGAAGCCAAACCGCUCCUUUAUUUUUUAGAGCUGCUGAUUGUGAAUCUCAAGAGUCUUAAGAGAAGCCAAAUAUAUUCCUCUUGUAAAUGAAAUAAACCUAUUUAAAUCA
Molecule: RNA transcript, 3517 nt
Organism: Nycticebus coucang (slow loris)
Lineage: Eukaryota; Metazoa; Chordata; Mammalia; Primates; Lorisidae
Gene: SPNS2
Gene name: SPNS lysolipid transporter 2, sphingosine-1-phosphate
Exons: 13
Source: RefSeq, a predicted model, not a curated record